RNAcentral lists this ribosomal RNA (657 nucleotides) under uncultured Enterobacteriaceae bacterium. RNAcentral describes it as "bacterial SSU rRNA". It matches the Rfam family "Bacterial small subunit ribosomal RNA", at positions 845 to 1502 of the family's 1533-position model. The record is from RNAcentral. Lineage: Bacteria; Pseudomonadati; Pseudomonadota; Gammaproteobacteria; Enterobacterales; Enterobacteriaceae.
UCCGGAGCUAACGCGUUAAGUCGACCGCCUGGGGAGUACGGCCGCAAGGUUAAAACUCAAAUGAAUUGACGGGGGCCCGCACAAGCGGUGGAGCAUGUGGUUUAAUUCGAUGCAACGCGAAGAACCUUACCUACUCUUGACAUCCAGAGAACUUAGCAGAGAUGCUUUGGUGCCUUCGGGAACUCUGAGACAGGUGCUGCAUGGCUGUCGUCAGCUCGUGUUGUGAAAUGUUGGGUUAAGUCCCGCAACGAGCGCAACCCUUAUCCUUUGUUGCCAGCGAUUCGGUCGGGAACUCAAAGGAGACUGCCAGUGAUAAACUGGAGGAAGGUGGGGAUGACGUCAAGUCAUCAUGGCCCUUACGAGUAGGGCUACACACGUGCUACAAUGGCAUAUACAAAGAGAAGCGACCUCGCGAGAGCAAGCGGACCUCAUAAAGUAUGUCGUAGUCCGGAUUGGAGUCUGCAACUCGACUCCAUGAAGUCGGAAUUGCUAGUAAUCGUGGAUCAGAAUGCCACGGUGAAUACGUUCCCGGGCCUUGUACACACCGCCCGUCACACCAUGGGAGUGGGUUGCAAAGGAAGUAGGUAGCUUAACCUUCGGGAGGGCGCUUACCACUUUGUGAUUCAUGACUGGGGUGAAGUCGUAACAAGGUAACCA